GAUGUGAAAGCCCCCGGCUCAACCCGGGGAGGGUCAUUGGAAACUGGGGAACUUGAGUGCAGAAGAGGAGAGUGGAAUUCCACGUGUAGCGGUGAAAUGCGUAGAGAUGUGGAGGAACACCAGUGGCGAAGGCGACUCUCUGGUCUGUAACUGACGCUGAGGAGCGAAAGCGUGGGGAGCGAACAGGAUUAGAUACCCUGGUAGUCCACGCCGUAAACGAUGAGUGCUAAGUGUUAGGGGGUUUCCGCCCCUUAGUGCUGCAGCUAACGCAUUAAGCACUCCGCCUGGGGAGUACGGUCGCAAGACUGAAACUCAAAGGAAUUGACGGGGGCCCGCACAAGCGGUGGAGCAUGUGGUUUAAUUCGAAGCAACGCGAAGAACCUUACCAGGUCUUGACAUCCUCUGACAAUCCUAGAGAUAGGACGUCCCCUUCGGGGGCAGAGUGACAGGUGGUGCAUGGUUGUCGUCAGCUCGUGUCGUGAGAUGUUGGGUUAAGUCCCGCAACGAGCGCAACCCUUGAUCUUAGUUGCCAGCAUUCAGUUGGGCACUCUAAGGUGACUGCCGGUGACAAACCGGAGGAAGGUGGGGAUGACGUCAAAUCAUCAUGCCCCUUAUGACCUGGGCUACACACGUGCUACAAUGGACAGAACAAAGGGCAGCGAAACCGCGAGGUUAAGCCAAUCCCACAAAUCUGUUCUCAGUUCGGAUCGCAGUCUGCAACUCGACUGCGUGAAGCUGGAAUCGCUA
RNAcentral lists this ribosomal RNA (747 nucleotides) under Bacillus velezensis. RNAcentral describes it as "bacterial SSU rRNA". It matches the Rfam family "Bacterial small subunit ribosomal RNA", at positions 591 to 1337 of the family's 1533-position model. Lineage: Bacteria; Bacillati; Bacillota; Bacilli; Caryophanales; Bacillaceae. The record is from RNAcentral.